AUAUGCCCCAGGGUUAAUUAGUACCUAAAAUGCUACCUUUGGUUUGUGAAAAAGAUCUAGAGUGGCUUCUGCAGCUCCUGUUAUGUUUCAUUGAUUCAGUCAUGUAGUAGGAUAGUUCCACUGGAUUUUACUAAAUGGUUUUGUAGCUUUACUUAGUGAAAAUGCCUCAAUUGGUUUCCGCAACAUUGCUUGUCUGUUGGCAGCUGGAGCAUACUUGGUACAUGAGCCUUGCCGUGAGUGGUGGUGCAACGGUGACCUUGACGAGCAGGGCAAUGGCCAGACACGAGUAAGACACCAAAGAUGACUGGAAGCACUCAAAAAAGUUUACCACGCUGGAGCUAUGUCAGGUUGUACGAGGGCAGUUAAUGAAUAUACUUGCGACCCUUUUACUCUCAGGUAAAUCACUAAUUAUUACAUGAUCUUUCAUAGUUGAAGUACCUACCAAAGGUAGUUAUUUUAUCCUUCUAACACGAGCAAUGAACAUUUUUUGCCAUUAAUUAUGGUCACAUUAUUGCUUCUUGGUUAAAAAAAUUCAGUAGAGGGUUGUAGCUAUUUGGAGUGCAGAAUUAUUAAGUACAGAGCAAGGAUUCCAAUUGGUCAUACAUGAAGUGAUACUCUUGCAAGAGCUAUGCAAUUAAAGUUUAUUUAAUUACAGUUUCACCACACUAUGAAAAGGGUACAACCUACCAAUCUUGAGAGCAUUAAUGUAACAACUUUUUGUAGCUUAGAAAUCCAAUGGAAACUAAUAAGGUAAAUAUGCUUCUUUCUUGCAGACUUGCAGUUCUGUUUUAUUCAUUACCCUGCUGCAAGCUCUUGGUCGUAUACUGUAUAUAAGUAAAUUGUCUUUGCUUCUUGGUCCAAGGGACAAAAUUGCUGAAUGAUUUUGGCAUCUCCUGAUUUUCCUUCUCCAUGGUUUGCCAUGUUCUGUGGUCUGAAUUUAGUUUCUUUUUCUUUGUCUAAAUUCUGUGCAAAUUCAUGGAACCCACACUGUUUGCAAGUUUGGUUUGCCUUUUUCCUUUAAAGAUUUGUACUGCUCUAUUUUUUUUAAUUGUUGAGGCAACAAAAUACCCCUUAUGUCAUGUAUGCUUCUUUGAUAGCAGUUUAUUAAGUGCUUAUACCAUAAUAUCUCUGAUAUAAGUACUCUAAUUAUAAUAGUAGCAAUCUAAAUUUAUUAUUGGCUUGAAAAUAAAAUAUUUGUGAGGAUAGAAAGGAAAUAUCAGCUUCACUCUGCAUUUCUUAUAGAUGUACCUAGGAGAAAUGCAGAAUUAAGAAGAGCUAUUUUCAGAACACCACUAUCUAUAUCUCUAUAUAUAUGCGGAACUCAAAACUCUUUUUGAAGAUGGAUGGAUGAACUUGAUCCCUGUCCAUCUCUGCUUUUUUCGGUACAUGAUUGUGCACCUCCUAUGCCUACUUAAUUGUGUGUUCAUUUUGUUAAUCAAGAAGCAUAUGAUUUUAUGGCUGGGUACGUUGAAAAUAUAUAAAACCUUUCUUCUUUUGGAUAAUCUGUUUCCCUUUCGCUAAUCUUUGUUACUUGCCUACACAUCUAUGCAUACUAUUCACUACUGCUACCAAUCCCAUGCUUGUUUGUUCAGAUACUUGAAUGGUGGAACAUGGCUUUUGUUCGAUGGCGAUUUUCCAAUCUUUGUAUGUGUUGCAUUCUUUUGUCCAAAAGUAGAGAUGUACUUUCUUCAAGAAGAAAAUGCUAAGUCUUUUACUAGCAAAGAUGUCGAUCUUGCACAUUUAGCUCUCUACGCAGUCUCACUAUCAUCUUGUGUAGUUUAUUUAUAGGGGUUGAAUACAGAAUUUUAGCCCUCCUAUUUUAGAGUAUGAAUCGGAAUCUAAAUCAGCAAUUGUAAAAAUGAUCAGUAAUUGUGCUUACUUUUUAGACUCUCCUCCUUUUCUCGCUGCUGAACCCCUGCCAUCAUCAUGUCCACUCCGCGCCCGCCCCGUGCUUGACGUGCACAUCCUGAGCCCCGCGCCCCCUUGGCUCUCUCCUCUCCCUCCUUGUCGCCAACCCUAAACAUUUUCCCUCUCCACCCUACAGCCGCCUCCCCUAGCUCCUCGUCCCCUUCACUCAGUCCAUUCCUCAUCAUCUCGGAUCCAGCGGAUCUGAGGCGUGCGGGUGCGGAGGCGAGUUUCUCCGGCGGCGGCGGCGGCGGUCACCUGCAGGCAAAGGGCGGUGGCCGCAGUCGAUUUGAUCUGCAGGAAAGAUAGAACAUGAGGAGAGAGAAGGAAAGGUGGAACGCCACCAUGGGCGAGGAGGGGCAACAUGGUCUUCGUGGUGGGAAUGGAGGAGCAGAGGAGGAUGGAGGUGGGUGGUGGGAGUACAGUAGCAGGAGUUCCAGGUCCAGGCGACGCUCGUGGAGUGGAGAAGCUCGUCGUCCAGCAUCACCAUCCCCAAUCUAGAUCUGAGAUAGAAAAGAAGAGAAAUAAUCUUGUGGAAUUUCUUAUCUGAGAUAGAAAAGAAGAGAAAGAUCUUGUGGAAGAGCUUGACGAAAAAGAAAGGGAUCUGAGAUAGAAAAGAAGAGAAAUAAUCUUGUGGAAUUUCAUAUCUGAGAAAAGAAGAGAAAGAUUCUUGUGGAAGAGCAGCUUGACAAAAAAGAAAGGGGGGGCACAACUGUACACCACCAUGAACAGGGGCAACACUCACAUUUACCCUCCAAAAUUCAACAUUUUCAUAUUUUGAGGAGCUUCAGUACGUUUGCUCACCGAUGAACUAGAAGUUGUUUUGUGUACUGCAUGAUUGAGGAAGUGCUAUUGCAGAUCAAAGUUGGUAGAAGCAUCUGCUGGGAAUCAAGUGUUACAUGGCUGUGGGUGACAAGGUUAGUGGUUUAGGAGUUCCUGCCAACACUGGCUUUUGGAAUUUAUCCUCGCUUCAUCAGUUGGGAUUUCUGUACAAAACUAAGAUAAUUUAUUUUGGUGCUUGCGAUGAGUAUUAGAUAGAGGGGUGAUGCACACAUACUUCACCCAGUGUAUCUGUUCAUGUAUGUUGUUAAUUGACUAAUUAGACAAAAAACCUCUAUCUGUAUGGUGUUUGUGAUGAUGCUAUCAAUUCACCAAACACUAAAAUACCGGGUUGUGCUUUUCAAAUCUAGCAAAUUAAUUCUCUA
This is a long non-coding RNA of Triticum aestivum (bread wheat), 3110 nucleotides long. RefSeq lists it as uncharacterized. The transcript is spliced from 8 exons. The record is from RefSeq and is a predicted model, not a curated record. Lineage: Eukaryota; Viridiplantae; Streptophyta; Magnoliopsida; Poales; Poaceae.